GGCGGACGGGUGAGUAACACGCCGGGAACGUGCCUUUAGGUUCGGAAUAGCUCCUGGAAACGGGUGGUAAUGCCGAAUGUGCCCUUCGGGGGAAAGAUUUAUCGCCUUUAGAGCGGCCCGCGUCUGAUUAGCUAGUUGGUGAGGUAAAGGCUCACCAAGGCUACGAUCAGUAGCUGGUCUGAGAGGAUGACCAGCCACAUUGGGACUGAGACACGGCCCAAACUCCUACGGGAGGCAGCAGUGGGGAAUCUUGCGCAAUGGGCGAAAGCCUGACGCAGCCAUGCCGCGUGAAUGAUGAAGGUCUUAGGAUUGUAAAAUUCUUUCAGUAGGGACGAUAAUGACGGUACCUACAGAAGAAGCCCCGGCUAACUUCGUGCCAGCAGCCGCGGUAAUACGAAGGGGGCUAGCGUUGCUCGGAAUUACUGGGCGUAAAGGGAGCGUAGGCGGACAUUUAAGUCAGGGGUGAAAUCCCAGAGCUCAACUCUGGAACU
This 491-nucleotide ribosomal RNA is filed under the name Brevundimonas sp. 4As2. RNAcentral describes it as "bacterial SSU rRNA". It matches the Rfam family "Bacterial small subunit ribosomal RNA", at positions 97 to 622 of the family's 1533-position model. Lineage: Bacteria; Pseudomonadati; Pseudomonadota; Alphaproteobacteria; Caulobacterales; Caulobacteraceae. The record is from RNAcentral.